AAUAUUGGACAAUGGGCGAAAGCCUGAUCCAGCCAUGCCGCGUGUGUGAAGAAGGUCUUCGGAUUGUAAAGCACUUUAAGUUGGGAGGAAGGGCAUUAACCUAAUACGUUAGUGUUUUGACGUUACCGACAGAAUAAGCACCGGCUAAUUUCGUGCCAGCAGCCGCGGUAAUAGGAAGGGUGCAAGCGUUAAUCGGAAUUACUGGGCGUAAAGCGCGCGUAGGUGGCUCGUUAAGUUGGAUGUGAAAGCCCCGGGCUCAACUUGGGAACUGCAUCCAAAACUGGCGAGCUAGAGUACGGUAGAGGGUGGUGGAAUUUCCUGUGUAGCGGUGAAAUGGGUAGAUAUAGGAAGGAACACCAGUGGGGAAGGCGACCACCUGGAUUGAUACUGACAUUGAGGUGGGAAAGCGUGGGGAGCAAACAGGAUUAGAUACCCUGGUAGUCCACGCCGUA
RNAcentral lists this ribosomal RNA (452 nucleotides) under uncultured marine bacterium. Its description in RNAcentral is "bacterial SSU rRNA". It matches the Rfam family "Bacterial small subunit ribosomal RNA", at positions 360 to 804 of the family's 1533-position model. The record is from RNAcentral.